RNAcentral lists this long non-coding RNA (1131 nucleotides) under Brassica napus (rape). Its description in RNAcentral is "long non-coding RNA (BNAP_LNC007778)". Lineage: Eukaryota; Viridiplantae; Streptophyta; Magnoliopsida; Brassicales; Brassicaceae. The record is from RNAcentral.
GUAAGGUCUUUUAGAUGUGGAUUUUGACUAUGCAUUUCUUUUAAGGUGUGCGAUUUCUAUGUUUGUGUCGUCACUGGUAUAUUCUCGUUGCUCUUCCUCUAUGAUUAAUAUAAGAUUCAGUGGUGUAGCUUCAGUAUUGAGAAGUUCUGCCGUCUCUUGGUCUACAACCUACAAAUUUCCUGAUUACAUGGAAAGGGAUUGAUGAGCUUAUAAUCAAUCAUGGUCGGUCAUUGAGAAAUGGAUUGCCAAACGUUUCUCUUUGUUGGCUGCUCGUGCUGAAGUUGUGUCCUUUCUUGCCUUCUUUUGACGAAUCAGUGGUAAGUGUGGUUGGGGCUUGUGUUUCAAUGGAGAAACCGUGUUAGAAGAUUGGCUUUUAACCCCAUUAAUUUAGGCAUGCAUCGUUUUCUCGAUAAAGUUUAAAAGAAUUUAGGUUUUACGCCUAAAUCGAAGUUUUCCAGAAGUCUUCUAGGGGAAGUCUUCUCAUGUAUUAGAUCUUAAAAAUUAUUAAUGAAUUUAAUAAAAAAACAUUUUGAAAGAAAAAAAAUCAAAAUCAUGUAUUAAUAAACAUUUAUAAAUGAUGGAAAUUUAGUUUUACUAAAAUUGAAUUAUGUUUAACAUAGAUGAGUGAAUGUAGAUUGAGUCAUGAUAGCCUUUGGUUUAAGGUUUGGUAACAUAUGUGAUAGCAUUGUUGGUAUUUUUAGGGUUAUAUUUUGAAAUCUUAUUUUUUUUUUAGUUUGACAUAUAUGUGUUUAGUGACUAUUUAAUUACUUUAUUUAAACAUUUUCUAAGUUUCUUUUAAUUUUAAGGAAGUGUUUGUCCUUAGUUAUUUGAUUAUAGGGUCUGAAAGGCGCUGAGAACACUUUGGUUUAGGGUUUAGUAACAUAUGUUAUAGUAUUGUUUGUAUUUAGGGUUAGAUUUUAAAAUAUUAACUUAAAAAAAUUGACCUACAUGUGUUUAGUUUUGUGUAUAUUAAAUGCUUUAUAAGUUGAUUUUAAGUUUAAUGAAUUGUUUUUUUGCUAUUUAGUUACUUAUUUGAUUAAGCUAUGGUUUGGAAAACUUCUAGAAAACUUCCCAAGAAGACUUUCAUAAGACUUCUGACAUAUUACCGCCUAAAUUUUGGUAAAAUUUAGG